This 375-nucleotide ribosomal RNA is filed under the name uncultured bacterium. RNAcentral's name for it is "bacterial SSU rRNA". It matches the Rfam family "Bacterial small subunit ribosomal RNA", at positions 521 to 896 of the family's 1533-position model. The record is from RNAcentral.
UAAUACGAAGGGGGCUAGCGUUGUUCGGAUUUACUGGGCGUAAAGCGCGUGUAGGCGGGUCGUUAAGUUGGGGGUGAAAUCCCGAGGCUCAACCUCGGAACUGCCUCCAAAACUGGCGACCUGGAGCAAGAUAGAGGCGAGUGGAAUUCCGAGUGUAGAGGUGAAAUUCGUAGAUAUUCGGAGGAACACCAGUGGCGAAGGCGACUCGCUGGAUCUUUGCUGACGCUGAGACGCGAAAGCGUGGGGAGCAAACAGGAUUAGAUACCCUGGUAGUCCACGCUGUAAACGAUGAGAGCUAGUUGUCGGCACGCAUGCGUGUCGGUGACGCAGCUAACGCAUUAAGCUCUCCGCCUGGGGAGUACGGCCGCAAGGUUA